UUCCUUGUUUCAGUUUGAUACGUUGUUGCAUUGAACAAAAUAAAAAGUGACACGGAGAAUGAUUGAUUGACCAAUAAAGCUCGUGAGCAUGGACAUGGUCACCGGUGCUUUGGGCAUGCUCCCCUCCGAGCUGCUAUAGAUACUGUAAUAUUUAUAUUUUAUUUGGCAAUUAGAGUAACUCCAAGAGAAAAGUUAUCCAUGUUGUGUAAUCUAUAUU
This 217-nucleotide long non-coding RNA is filed under the name Sorghum bicolor (sorghum). RNAcentral describes it as "long non-coding RNA (SBIC_LNC009751)". The record is from RNAcentral. Lineage: Eukaryota; Viridiplantae; Streptophyta; Magnoliopsida; Poales; Poaceae.